RNAcentral lists this non-coding RNA (29 nucleotides) under Rattus norvegicus (Norway rat). Lineage: Eukaryota; Metazoa; Chordata; Mammalia; Rodentia; Muridae. The record is from RNAcentral.
UGGCUAGAUGAGGAAAAUUNCUCAUGGGC